This 262-nucleotide ribosomal RNA is filed under the name uncultured Enterococcaceae bacterium. RNAcentral describes it as "partial 16S ribosomal RNA". It matches the Rfam family "Bacterial small subunit ribosomal RNA", at positions 524 to 785 of the family's 1533-position model. The record is from RNAcentral. Lineage: Bacteria; Bacillati; Bacillota; Bacilli; Lactobacillales; Enterococcaceae.
UACGUAGGUGGCAAGCGUUGUCCGGAUUUAUUGGGCGUAAAGCGAGCGCAGGCGGUUCCUUAAGUCUGAUGUGAAAGCCCCCGGCUCAACCGGGGAGGGUCAUUGGAAACUGGGAGACUUGGGUGCAGAAGAGGAGAGUGGAAUUCCAUGUGUAGCGGUGAAAUGCGUAGAUAUAUGGAGGAACACCAGUGGCGAAGGCGGCUCUCUGGUCUGUAACUGACGCUGAGGCUCGAAAGCGUGGGGAGCAAACAGGAUUAGAUAC